This 301-nucleotide ribosomal RNA is filed under the name uncultured bacterium. RNAcentral describes it as "partial 16S ribosomal RNA". It matches the Rfam family "Bacterial small subunit ribosomal RNA", at positions 509 to 807 of the family's 1533-position model. The record is from RNAcentral.
CAGCAGCCGCGGUAAUACGGAGGGAGCUAGCGUUGUUCGGAAUUACUGGGCGUAAAGCGCACGUAGGCGGCUUUGUAAGUUAGAGGUGAAAGCCUGGAGCUCAACUCCAGAACUGCCUUUAAGACUGCAUCGCUUGAAUCCAGAAGAGGUGAGUGGAAUUCCGAGUGUAGAGGUGUAAUUCGUAGAUAUUCGGAAGAACACCAGUGGCGAAGGCGGCUCACUGGACUGGUAUUGACGCUGAGGUGCGAAAGCGUGGGGAGCAAACAGGAUUAGAUACCCCUGUAGUCCCUGUCUCUUAUAC